CAUAAAUACUAAUUGGUUGCUAUGGUGAUCUCAAGCUUGUAACUAAAACGGAGGUAUCUAGGUAACAGUAUCUGAAGGUGAGAAUGAUGAAUGCUUCAACUCUGGAGUUUCGUAGGGAGAUGGUGCUGGAGUAUAAAAACUGGCAAAUGUAGCCUCAGCUCCAAAGGAUUGAACUUGAGAAGAUCCAACCAGUCUGUCAAAGGAGUAACAAAUUUGCAAAGGUGAGUUGAAAUAACAUGACACAUCUGGGACUGGCCUCAUUGACCUCUUUGGUAGUGGUGAUUCAUUAAGUGGUCACUUCUUGAGACAGCAAUAUCUGCUUGAACUGCUAUUAACAUUUUGAGACCUUACCCAGCUUCCUGUGCAGAGCUUGAAGUCUACUCCACGUUCAUCCAGUCAACAUGUUUUGGGGGACACACAUCACAUCCCAGACUCAAUUGCUAAAUAAAGAAUCAAGAUCUCGAACCAAACCUUUCUCCUUUCAGGAUGUUGUGUUAGAAGUGACAUACAGAUAACUUUUCGUAUUCUAUGCUCCUGAUGCCUCCAAGGAGUGAAGAGAUUUGCUCAAGGCCAGCCCAGCACCUAGUUUAUUACAGAACUAGAAUUAGAACCCGGGUUUUAUGAAGUCUCAGGCAAGCAAGAGCUCUUCAACGUCAGAAUGCUUCCUCCCGUUCUCCAGUAAUGAUUAUGAAACAUACAUUUCUCUUUGAUUCCCAGAAAUUUCCCCCUAUGGCUAACACAGUUUUACUUGAUAUGUGAGAACAUAGCACAAAAUAAAAGUUGCAUUGAGUCACAG
RNAcentral lists this long non-coding RNA (796 nucleotides) under Equus caballus (horse). Its description in RNAcentral is "lncRNA (ENSECAG00000040612.3)". The record is from RNAcentral. Lineage: Eukaryota; Metazoa; Chordata; Mammalia; Perissodactyla; Equidae.